This 2468-nucleotide long non-coding RNA is filed under the name Lathyrus oleraceus (garden pea). RNAcentral describes it as "Pisum sativum (pea) long non-coding RNA (PSAT_LNC003874)". The record is from RNAcentral. Lineage: Eukaryota; Viridiplantae; Streptophyta; Magnoliopsida; Fabales; Fabaceae.
AGAAGUUGAUAUUUUGUUGGGCGAUCUCAUGAUGGAAGGUUAACAAUUCGUGCCUACUUAUUUACUCCCUCAACAACUAUAUUCAUUUUUGUUUUCAAUUGGAGUUCUUUUAGCAACUUAUGGAAUCCUCUUUCAUUGCUCUGCAUUAGCAAAAUAUUUGAUCCUUAUCUGUAUAGAUACUGUAGAAGAUGCUUAUUUCAACCAUGUUGUAAUCUUGGUUUCAACGUCAGAAAAAACAAUCCUGAUUCUGGAGCAGUCACACACAGUUUAAGAAUAAUUUCUUAGUUCAUAGCCCCUAUUAGAAUUACAAUACUGAGACAAACAAGGAACAGAAAAUAAGAUGGUGAUUUCAUACAAUUUGCAGUCUUCAUUGUGAUUUUAAGGAUAAUCUAAACUCCCAAAUAGGCACUUUAGUGUUAGUUAGCAUUAGGAAUCUUUUGUUGUUUCUCUUUUUAAGCAGUAUGCAUGCGUAAUUAGAGCAGAUAUUUGGAUAUUAAACAUAUUUAAAUCCGUAAGGAGUACUCAUGUAAAUGUCACUUGCUUAAUUUCGUCCAUUUUAUGCACGAGCGGUUUAUUCCAUCUUUUGUAUCUACGUUAUUUUCCUUUAAUAUUUGUCUAUUUUUCAUGUUUGCAGUUUGUUGUACAAGAUUGUAUCGAUGCAGAGUUACAACAAAUGUCUUUUCUCUUUAUAUUUUCAGGUAAAGAUUAUCCAAGCAUAGAUUUCAUUUUCUUUUUGAGAAUGUGUGUGGAUGACAGUAUAAUGAAGAAGUUAUCUUGUCUUAAAAUUUUGUUUUGUUUUGUUUUACGCACAAUAAAGAAGUUUUUUUUGUAUUAUGAUACUAUCCAAAUGUGUAUCAUCUUUAUAUUGGAUUUGAAUUACUUAGGAUUUCUAUUUUAUACAGCUGCUGGAAUAUGUGGCUGAGCAGUGAUUUUGAAACAAAUAAGGGGCUAUCUUUUAUAUGGUAAUUUUUCAGUAAAUUGAAAUGUAAUAGUUUGUAGGCCAUAAUUGUAUUUGAUGCAACCUCAACCAUAAUAUUAAAUUGAUUUUGCUGAAUUUGGCAGAGUUGUCUUUUGAAUGGGAAAAAAUAAAGAAGCUUAUGGUGAGUUAUUGUAAUUCUUUUCACUUCGCCUCUCUUUGAAAAUAGAUAACCAUGAAGGAAAUGAAGUUCAAAGUUGAUAAGAUCAGUUGGAUUUUUAAAUAGUGUAGAAAAAGAUUUUAUAAUAUAUUUUAAAAUCAUGUUACAACACAAUAAUUGUUCAAAUAGAGAAAAAUUUAGAAGAGGUAACUGGGUUUAAUUAAUAAGUUCAUAUAAUAGAAUGAAACUAAUUUAAGAUAAAAUAAAACUACUAUUUAAACUUUUCGGUUGACUACUUUUUUUAACAGACUUGUCUCUUAAUACCCAGAAAGAAUAUAAUGUAUGGUUAUUAACUCACUACUUAUUUUUUCUUGAAUGAAAUGUCAGUAAAUUUCAAUGUGUUUUGUCUUGUUAUGUUGAACUAUGUGCAAUGUCGAUGGUUAAUUUGGUGUCACAAAACAAUUCCACAGGAUCUUAAAAAUGUAUCUUCAAAUCGUUUAACACUUGUUUCAUCCACAAUAUUUUGAUCUUCUGAGCUUUGUUUAUAAUUAAAGGACACCAUUGCUUUUAUGAGUCUUCCAAACCAUGAAUGAGGGACUGUUUUAAUUAAUUUAACUUAAUCAAUACAUCAUGUUGACCCUGAGACCAUAGCCAUAUUGACCGGUCAUACCAUAGUUUGAUGGAAUCUCCAUAUACAUAUCAUUAAAGGAGUACAUAGGUUGGAUAAAUCUAGCCAAAUCGAACCAAAAAAUGAGUUGAGUUGGGUUAAGGAAAUUCGAAAAUGCCCUUCAAAUUUUGGAAGUGCAUUUUCGAAUCCACCAUUUUCACACCAAAACGCAUCCUAACUGAGACUUGUUGGAGCAUUUUCCCGUAGCUGGAAUUAGACAUAAUACAUCAUCAGAAUCAAAACAAGUUUAUAAAAUAAUGAUCUAAAUGGAAUGAAAUUUAUGAUAUGCACAUUGACAUCUUCCUUCUGGUCUUUUUGACAUGCUCCUGUCAAGGAAGAUGUCAAGCUCCUUGACUUCUCUGCAGGAAUGUGCUUCGGGUGUAGGACUUUUGCCACUGAUUAAUCUUGAACUGUAUUCCCCUCUUGCAGGAUUAUAAGAGGAAUGCAUUUUGUUAGAGAAGCAAAACCUGGUCUAUAGAGAAGGUAGAUAUUGUGCAGGAGAGCACAAAUAAGCAAAUCUAGUUGAGCAAAUAAGCAAAUAUAUUGUUAUGCAAUUCUUUUAUUAUACAUCAAAAUAGGAAUUGUUGUGCAAAAAGAAAGGAUGUGUACCAAUGAAAACAAACAGAUUUGAUACACUUUUGAAGAAAGAAGGAAUGCAGAGAAGAAAUAGCAUGCAUAUUAUUGAGUAACUUUUGCAAGAGGUGACAAAGUUUCCACUUAAUGAA